GACGAACGCUGGCGGCGUGCUUAACACAUGCAAGUCGCACGAGGACGGGAGCUUGCUCCCGAGCCGAGUGGCGGACGGGUGAGUAACACGUGACCAACCUGUCCUAGGGUGAGGGACAACCUGGGAAACCCGGGCUAAUACCGCAUGAUGUCUCGAGGUCGCAUGGCCAUGAGAUCAAAGAGGGCCUCUGCUUGCAAGCUCUCGCCCUGGGAGGGGUUCGCGGCGUAUCAGCUAGUUGGUAGGGUAACGGCCUACCAAGGCUACGACGCGUAGCGGGCUCUGAGAGGACGACCCGCCUCAUUGGGCACUGAGAUACGGCCCAGACUCCUACGGGAGGCAGCAGUGGGGAAUAUUGCGCAAUGGACGAACGUCUGACGCAGCGACGCCGCGUGUGGGAGGAAGCUC
This 405-nucleotide ribosomal RNA is filed under the name uncultured bacterium. RNAcentral's name for it is "bacterial SSU rRNA". It matches the Rfam family "Bacterial small subunit ribosomal RNA", at positions 28 to 416 of the family's 1533-position model. The record is from RNAcentral.